UUAGAGUUUGUUCCUGGCUCAGGAUGAACGCCGGCGGUGUGCCUAAUACAUGCAAGUCGUACGCACUGGCCCAACUGAUUGAUGGUGCUUGCACCUGAUUGACGAUGGAUCACCAGUGAGUGGCGGACGGGUGAGUAACACGUAGGUAACCUGCCCCGGAGCGGGGGAUAACAUUUGGAAACAGAUGCUAAUACCGCAUAACAACAAAAGCCACAUGGCUUUUGUUUGAAAGAUGGCUUUGGCUAUCACUCUGGGAUGGACCUGCGGUGCAUUAGCUAGUUGGUAAGGUAACGGCUUACCAAGGCGAUGAUGCAUAGCCGAGUUGAGAGACUGAUCGGCCACAAUGGAACUGAGACACGGUCCAUACUCCUACGGGAGGCAGCAGUAGGGAAUCUUCCACAAUGGGCGCAAGCCUGAUGGAGCAACACCGCGUGAGUGAAGAAGGGUUUCGGCUCGUAAAGCUCUGUUGUUGGAGAAGAACGUGCGUGAGAGUAACUGUUCACGCAGUGACGGUAUCCAACCAGAAAGUCACGGCUAACUACGUGCCAGCAGCCGCGGUAAUACGUAGGUGGCAAGCGUUAUCCGGAUUUAUUGGGCGUAAAGCGAGCGCAGGCGGUUGCUUAGGUCUGAUGUGAAAGCCUUCGGCUUAACCGAAGAAGUGCAUCGGAAACCGGGCGACUUGAGUGCAGAAGAGGACAGUGGAACUCCAUGUGUAGCGGUGGAAUGCGUAGAUAUAUGGAAGAACACCAGUGGCGAAGGCGGCUGUCUGGUCUGCAACUGACGCUGAGGCUCGAAAGCAUGGGUAGCGAACAGGAUUAGAUACCCUGGUAGUCCAUGCCGUAAACGAUGAGUGCUAGGUGUUGGAGGGUUUCCGCCCUUCAGUGCCGGAGCUAACGCAUUAAGCACUCCGCCUGGGGAGUACGACCGCAAGGUUGAAACUCAAAGGAAUUGACGGGGGCCCGCACAAGCGGUGGAGCAUGUGGUUUAAUUCGAAGCUACGCGAAGAACCUUACCAGGUCUUGACAUCUUGCGCUAACCUUAGAGAUAAGGCGUUCCCUUCGGGGACGCAAUGACAGGUGGUGCAUGGUCGUCGUCAGCUCGUGUCGUGAGAUGUUGGGUUAAGUCCCGCAACGAGCGCAACCCUUGUUACUAGUUGCCAGCAUUAAGUUGGGCACUCUAGUGAGACUGCCGGUGACAAACCGGAGGAAGGUGGGGACGACGUCAGAUCAUCAUGCCCCUUAUGACCUGGGCUACACACGUGCUACAAUGGACGGUACAACGAGUCGCAAGCUCGCGAGAGUAAGCUAAUCUCUUAAAGCCGUUCUCAGUUCGGACUGUAGGCUGCAACUCGCCUACACGAAGUCGGAAUCGCUAGUAAUCGCGGAUCAGCAUGCCGCGGUGAAUACGUUCCCGGGCCUUGCACUCACCGCCCGUCA
This 1436-nucleotide ribosomal RNA is filed under the name uncultured bacterium. RNAcentral describes it as "bacterial SSU rRNA". It matches the Rfam family "Bacterial small subunit ribosomal RNA". The record is from RNAcentral.